AAAAAAUUAAUAACUAGUAAAGAUAGAUGGUUAUUAAUAAUAAUAAAAUUGGUAAUAAAUAAAAAUAAUAAUAAUAAUAAAAAACAAUAGUAACAAUUUAAUAUGAUAAAAAAAUAAAAUUUAAAAUAAAUAAAUAAAUAAAAAAACGAUUAAUGGGGGAGCAUCCAGCCAGCUAUAGCAUGAGAAAUUUUUUAACUCCCCAUCCACUGACUGACACGUGGCAGGGGAUGAAAAAAUUGCAAAAUAAAAUAAAAAAAAUCCUCCUUCAUCUAGAAACAUGCUGGUUUGAAACAAAAUAAACAGAGAAAACCAUUUCUCUACUUUCUCUCUCAUGAUCCUUCCACUCCCACUUGUUCAUUCCUAUCUUUUCUUUUUCUUUCAAACUUACAUAUUCAAGAAAAUAAAAUAAAAAGCAAAAUUUCUAAAAAUCAAAAGAAACCUCCACAAACUUCAGAUAAUAUUUAAACAAAACUGGAAAGCAAAGAAAAAGCUACCAAAUAGAGACUUCGUGGCGGUCGACGACGGUUUGUCGUAUGUCUCGGUCGUUCGAAAUUUCACGGUGUGGAGAGGGAUAAGAAAUGAGAGUUAAGUUGUUUUGGGAUGGAUUGAUGGAAGGUUAAGUGAUAAUGGAGACAUUGUUGUGUGAGAUUUGUAGAAGAUNNN
Molecule: long non-coding RNA, 663 nt
Filed under: Lathyrus oleraceus (garden pea)
Lineage: Eukaryota; Viridiplantae; Streptophyta; Magnoliopsida; Fabales; Fabaceae
Description: Pisum sativum (pea) long non-coding RNA (PSAT_LNC030732)
Source: RNAcentral